Non-coding RNA from Lactuca sativa (garden lettuce), 2421 nucleotides. The record is from RefSeq and is a predicted model, not a curated record. Lineage: Eukaryota; Viridiplantae; Streptophyta; Magnoliopsida; Asterales; Asteraceae.
UUCCUCAAUAAUAUUAGUCCACCAUAUCUUUAAAUUGAUUCGUCUCCCCUCUAAAUCGAUUCAUUUCCUACAUCGACUGACGACGAUCCUGUUCAAUGUCUUCACAAACCCUUCGUCUCCACCUACGCUCAUAAUUCCAUCUAGAAGCUAUCGAUAAAGAACCAAAUCUUAGGGGCUGAUUGUGUCCAUCAGUGAGAGGCACAGAACCGGAAUGAAAUCGAGAAGGAGAUACUGAGAGGAGAAGAAGGGAAACAUGAUGAAGGCAACAGGAAAUCGAACCGUACCCACAAUGAUGUUCACGCACUCCAUUAUAAACAGCGACUAAGAAAUUCUUCGAUUCCUUUUUUCCUGGCUUCAAUCGAUCGCAUGUUCCCAGGGCUCUCCAACACACCGUUUCCUUUGACAUGUUCUGAUUUAUCUUUUCUGUUUUUGUGUUCUCUAUUGUUGUACCUAAUUACAAGAUUACAGAAGGGCCUUUAAUCCUCUUUCACUUCCGUCGCAUGUCGCCUACACCACCAAAGCUACGUCUGUUUUUUUUAUGCGGUGGCGUCUCCGAUGCCGGUGAUAGCGACGUCUGAGAAUCUGGAAUUUUUUUUCUUGAUGGAUUCUUAUUGAAGACUCAAUUUCCCGUUUCUUUAUCUUCUUCGUAUGCCGAGUAUCUACUUUAUUCAGAAAAAGAAUCUGUUGGUCGCCGAUAUCUUUUAACAAAAACCAAAGAACAAAUAUAUUCCAAAACCCAGGAGCCACAACAAGAGUAGCCCAAAGGAAAGAAGUGGUAAUUUCUGAAUUUAAGUUCAAGUCUUGAAUGAAGAAUAUGACAUUAAUGAAUGAAUUUUGGUUUAAAAAAAGAAUGUUUGGAAAAUGUUUAUAACCUAUAAAGAAUUAAGUGAAAGGCCAAAUUACUUCAUUUUGAUAGCUUUGAAUUUCUAUCAAAGUCAAAACAAAGAAUGCAAAAUCAAAAUUAUUUUGAAUGCUGUCAAUGCAUGUUGGAAUUGAGUUCCGAUUCAUAAAGUACUAUUGGUAAUAAAUUAGAAACAUAAAAUAAUCAAGCAAUUUGAGCUUUUGAGCUUAGCGUCAACGAUAAUAAGUUGGUAAAUGGUACAAAUUUGACUUUUGUAAAAGCCAUGCUUAAUACAGUUGGUAAAGGGUACAAAUUUGGCUUUUGUAAAAGCCAUGCUUAAUACAAGAAAUUAGAAGUUUCAUGUUUAUGAUUAAAAAAGUAAUCGAACUUGGAACAAAUCUAUGUAUUACAUGAUAAAUGCUAAGUUUAAAUCACAUGUAUGUUGGUUAAAACGGACUGAAAUUAAAUUGAUGAUUUGAGGAAUCCGAUGCAUUAACAUUAUUAAUUAUGUUCUACACAGGCAAAUAAAAUUUUGAUUUUGAUUAUGAUCAGAAUAAAGAAAAGUAGAAACUUAUCUAAUUUUUAAUAUUUAAUAUAUUAAUAAUUAAUAAAAAAAUUGUAUAUAAUAUAUGCAGCGCGGUGUAGUUAUUUUGUGGUUUUUGAAAAUUAUUAACCACACCACACCGCAAAUUUGCGGUUUUCGAAAAACAGAAAAUCUUACUAUCGGUUUUUAUUGUGGUUGCGGUUAAUUUUAGUUGCGGUGCGGUUUUUACUCAUCCUUAGUUUUCAAAGAUGCUUUGAAUAAUUAUGUCGAAAUUUGACCUUUAAGGAAUAUUGCAACUUUUUUGGAAAUUUUUUUAGGAUAUAAGUAUCUACAUUGCUGAUUGACAUUGUUGCAACUUAAUGAUGUGAUUGAUUAUGGUUGAAUAUUUAUAUUUUGUUGAUGUUGAAGCAUUUUGUUAAAAAUUAAAGUCAAGAUCAGAGAUGACAAUGAGGCCGGGGAAUACCGGGACCUCAAUCCUCAUCCCCGAAUCAUCAUUCCAAUAUUCAUCCUCAUCCCCAUUCAGAAAUAUAAAUGAAUCUCCUAACACACCCCCAACGGGGGCCGGGGAUCUCUAGCUGGAAAGCAGUGAUUUCUUUUUCUAUUUUAACAUGAAAACCUUUACGUAAAAAAAAACUUUAAAUUUCAAUUUUAACAACAUAAGUUUAAAAAUUUACAAAGCAUAAAAAUAUCCAUAGAUCACAUAAAAACUAUAAAUAAAUUUUCUAUCAAAUUUAAAUGCAUACACGAAAAAUCAAGUAGAAAAAAAAAAUAUCAGAGUGAUAUUUGAGGUAACAAAUAAAUUAAUCAAAGAGAAAAAAAAUAUACACGAAGUUAAUUAGAUAAACAAAUAAGGAAAAUUAUAAUUUCAACUAAGUAAUUAGUAAUGAGUCGGACUAUUUUGGUUAAAUUUUAGGUAUUGUAAGUUUUACUAUAAACAUAUUCUUUGUAUUAAGUUACAUAUUAGUAUUUAUCAGCAUGUCCGGUCCUAAUGUUUUUUGUGCCUUGGGCGAAACGACAUAAUAAUUAGGGAUGACAA